This 496-nucleotide ribosomal RNA is filed under the name uncultured bacterium. RNAcentral's name for it is "partial 16S ribosomal RNA". It matches the Rfam family "Bacterial small subunit ribosomal RNA", at positions 28 to 506 of the family's 1533-position model. The record is from RNAcentral.
GAUGAACGCUGGCGGCGUGCCUAAUACAUGCAAGUCGAGCGAACAGACGAGGAGCUUGCUCCUUCGACGUUAGCGGCGGACGGGUGAGUAACACGUAGGUAACCUACCUAUAAGACUGGGAUAACUUCGGGAAACCGGAGCUAAUACCGGAUAACAUUUCGAUCCGCAUGGUUCGAUAGUGAAAGAUGGCUUUGCUAUCACUUAUAGAUGGACCUGCGCCGUAUUAGCUAUUUGGUAAUGUAACGGCUUACCAGGGAAACGAUACGUAGCCGACCUGAGAGGGUGAUCGGCCACACUGGAUCAGAGACACGGUCCAGACUCCAACGGGAGGCAGCAGUGGAGAAUCUGGCGCAGUGGGCGAAAGCCUGACGGAGCAGCGCCGCGUGAGUGGUGAAGGUCUUCGGCGCGUAGAACUCUGUUAUUAGGAAAGAACAUGCGUGUAAGUAACUGUGCACGUCUUGCCGGUACCUAAUCAAAAAGCCACGGCUACCUACUU